UAGGGAAUCUUCCGCAAUGGGCGAAAGCCUGACGGAGCAACGCCGCGUGAGUGAUGAAGGUCUUCGGAUCGUAAAACUCUGUUAUUAGGGAAGAACAAAUGUGUAAGUAACUAUGCACGUCUUGACGGUACCUAAUCAGAAAGCCACGGCUAACUACGUGCCAGCAGCCGCGGUAAUACGUAGGUGGCAAGCGUUAUCCGGAAUUAUUUGGCGUAAAGCGCGCGUAGGCGGUUUUUUAAGUCUGAUGUGAAAGCCCACGGCUCAACCGUGGAGGGUCAUUGGAAACUGGAAAACUUGAGUGCAGAAGAGGAAAGUGGAAUUCCAUGUGUAGCGGUGAAAUGCGCAGAGAUAUGGAGGAACACCAGUGGCGAAGGCGACUAUCUGGACUGUAACUGACGCUGAUGUGCGAAAGCGUGGGGAUCAAACAGG
Molecule: ribosomal RNA, 429 nt
Filed under: Actinomycetes bacterium
Lineage: Bacteria; Bacillati; Actinomycetota; Actinomycetes
Description: Actinobacteria bacterium partial 16S ribosomal RNA
Rfam family: Bacterial small subunit ribosomal RNA
Source: RNAcentral